GAUAACAAUUUAUUCCAUAAAAAUAAUAUUGCACCCAUCAUACAUCCAAACGCAUAUAGCCUAUGGAAACAGGCUGCCACACACCUAUAGAGUUCCAUUUUUAACAAGUCACACCUAUAGAGUUCAUUGGCAGUCACAUUGCAGAUUUUAAUUUAGACCAGACUCCAUACCACAAUUCAUAUCAGGGUCUCAAGUCGCACCGUAAGCCGUACCGUGGCCUAAGUUAGACCGGAUGCCAUAUCGCAGUCUCAAGUUAGACCGUACG
This 265-nucleotide unclassified non-coding RNA is filed under the name Hevea brasiliensis (rubber tree). The record is from RNAcentral. Lineage: Eukaryota; Viridiplantae; Streptophyta; Magnoliopsida; Malpighiales; Euphorbiaceae.